UGGCGGACGGGUGAGUAACACGUGAGCAACCUGGCUCUAANAGGGGGACAACAGUUGGAAACGACUGCUAAUACCGCAUAACGUAUCGGGAUGGCAUCUUCCUGGUACCAAAGAUUUUAUCGCUUAGAGAUGGGCUCGCGUCUGAUUAGAUAGUUGGCGGGGUAACGGCCCACCAAGUCGACGAUCAGUAGCCGGACUGAGAGGUUGAACGGCCACAUUGGGACUGAGACACGGCCCAGACUCCUACGGGAGGCAGCAUG
RNAcentral lists this ribosomal RNA (260 nucleotides) under uncultured bacterium. RNAcentral's name for it is "partial 16S ribosomal RNA". It matches the Rfam family "Bacterial small subunit ribosomal RNA", at positions 96 to 353 of the family's 1533-position model. The record is from RNAcentral.